GCCGAAAUAGCUCAGUUGGGAGAGCGUCAGACUGAAGAUCAGAAGGUCCCUGGUUCAAUCCAGAGAGUUUGUG
Non-coding RNA from Nematostella vectensis (starlet sea anemone), 73 nucleotides. NCBI's taxonomy places the organism in Eukaryota, Metazoa, Cnidaria, Anthozoa, Actiniaria, Edwardsiidae. The record is from Rfam.